This 93-nucleotide transfer RNA is filed under the name Fusarium irregulare. It matches the Rfam family "tRNA". From Rfam's summary of the family: Transfer RNA (tRNA) molecules are approximately 80 nucleotides in length. Their secondary structure includes four short double-helical elements and three loops (D, anti-codon, and T loops). Lineage: Eukaryota; Fungi; Ascomycota; Sordariomycetes; Hypocreales; Nectriaceae. The record is from Rfam by way of RNAcentral.
GGGCGAAUGGUUUAGUGGUAUAAUACUCCCUUAGCAUGUUCUCUCCGAGAUCAAAUUUGGGAGUGGUCCAGGGUUCGAUUCCCUGUUCGUCCA